This is a small nucleolar RNA of Diospyros lotus (date-plum), 156 nucleotides long. RefSeq annotates it as small nucleolar RNA snoR2/U65. The record is from RefSeq and is a predicted model, not a curated record. The transcript has a single exon. Lineage: Eukaryota; Viridiplantae; Streptophyta; Magnoliopsida; Ericales; Ebenaceae.
GGUCCGAUGCCACGUCGCCGGUAGCGAAAGAGAGCGAUGACCGGCGAUGCUAUGAUCGGACCAAAAUCAAACGCCGAUGCUGUUUCGCAUUGGAUAGGAACCUGUGGACCGAUUCAACGCCGUUCGUCCACGGAGCCGGUUUGUGCGAUUACAUAU